This 265-nucleotide long non-coding RNA is filed under the name Lathyrus oleraceus (garden pea). RNAcentral describes it as "Pisum sativum (pea) long non-coding RNA (PSAT_LNC013099)". The record is from RNAcentral. Lineage: Eukaryota; Viridiplantae; Streptophyta; Magnoliopsida; Fabales; Fabaceae.
UUAUAAAAGUACAUAAAUUAAGCAAACGCAAGAUAAUAACUCAAAUAAGUCCUUAAAAACAAUUGGAGGUUUAAUUAAAUAGAAACGAAUAAAACUCUAUCCUUAAACAUAAAUUAAGAAGCGUAACUUUCAUAGAAAGAAAAAAGAAAAAAUCUGGAUCGCCUCGGAGUGAAGCCAUCAUCGGCGAAACCCAAAUCCAUGAUUCACAAACCCAACUCAUAUGCGAACAUCACAAAAAACAACAACCUGGAUAUCAUUCUAAGAC